Molecule: ribosomal RNA, 253 nt
Filed under: uncultured bacterium
Lineage: Bacteria
Description: partial 16S ribosomal RNA
Rfam family: Bacterial small subunit ribosomal RNA
Source: RNAcentral
UACAGAGGUGGCAAGCGUUGUUCGGAAUUACUGGGCGUAAAGGGCGCGUAGGCGGUCGAUUAAGUCCCGUGUGAAAUCCCUCGGCUCAACUGAGGAACUGCACGGGAAACUGGCUGACUUGAGUUCGGGAGAGGGAAGCGGAAUUCCGGGUGUAGCGGUGAAAUGCGUAGAUAUCCGGAGGAACACCGGUGGCGAAGGCGGCUUGCUGGACCGAUACUGACGCUGAGGCGCGAAAGCUAGGGGAGCAAACGGG